AUAUGGAUUGCAUGACCACAU
Molecule: non-coding RNA, 21 nt
Filed under: Arabidopsis thaliana (thale cress)
Lineage: Eukaryota; Viridiplantae; Streptophyta; Magnoliopsida; Brassicales; Brassicaceae
Source: RNAcentral